Molecule: ribosomal RNA, 569 nt
Filed under: uncultured Gammaproteobacteria bacterium
Lineage: Bacteria; Pseudomonadati; Pseudomonadota; Gammaproteobacteria
Description: bacterial SSU rRNA
Rfam family: Bacterial small subunit ribosomal RNA
Source: RNAcentral
UCGAUUUGGAGUUUGUUGCCUAGAGUGAUGGGCUCCGAAGCUAACGCGAUAAAUCGACCGCCUGGGGAGUACGGCCGCAAGGUUAAAACUCAAAUGAAUUGACGGGGGCCCGCACAAGCGGUGGAGCAUGUGGUUUAAUUCGAUGCAACGCGAAGAACCUUACCUGGUCUUGACAUCCACAGAAUCUUUCAGAGAUGAGGGAGUGCCUUCGGGAACUGUGAGACAGGUGCUGCAUGGCUGUCGUCAGCUCGUGUUGUGAAAUGUUGGGUUAAGUCCCGCAACGAGCGCAACCCUUAUCCUUUGUUGCCAGCGAUUAGGUCGGGAACUCAAAGGAGACUGCCGUUGAUAAAACGGAGGAAGGUGGGGACGACGUCAAGUCAUCAUGGCCCUUGCGACCAGGGCUACACACGUGCUACAAUGGCGUAUACAAAGGGAAGCGAAGGUGCGAGCUGGAGCGGACCUCCUAAAGUACGUCUAAGUCCGGAUUGGAGUCUGCAACUCGACUCCAUGAAGUCGGAAUCGCUAGUAAUCGUGAAUCAGAAUGUCACGGUGAAUACGUUCCCGGGCCU